This 7473-nucleotide unclassified non-coding RNA is filed under the name Hepatovirus A. The stretch from base 162 to 732 matches the Rfam family "Hepatitis A virus internal ribosome entry site (IRES)". The record is from RNAcentral. Lineage: Riboviria; Orthornavirae; Pisuviricota; Pisoniviricetes; Picornavirales; Picornaviridae.
UUCAAGAGGGGUCUCCGGGAAUUUCCGGAGUCCCUCUUGGAAGUCCAUGGUGAGGGGACUUGAUACCUCACCGCCGUUUGCCUAGGCUAUAGGCUAAAUUUUCCCUUUCCCUUUUCCCUUUCCCAUUCCCUUUUGCUUGUAAAUAUUGAUUCCUGCAGGUUCAGGGUUCUUAAAUCUGUUUCUCUAUAAGAACACUCAUUUUCACGCUUUCUGUCUUCUUUCUUCCAGGGCUCUCCCCUUGCCCUAGGCUCUGGCCGUUGCGCCCGGCGGGGUCAACUCCAUGAUUAGCAUGGAGCUGUAGGAGUCUAAAUUGGGGACACAGAUGUUUGGAACGUCACCUUGCAGUGUUAACUUGGCUUUCAUGAAUCUCUUUGAUCUUCCACAAGGGGUAGGCUACGGGUGAAACCUCUUAGGCUAAUACUUCUAUGAAGAGAUGCCUUGGAUAGGGUAACAGCGGCGGAUAUUGGUGAGUUGUUAAGACAAAAACCAUUCAACGCCGGAGGACUGACUCUCAUCCAGUGGAUGCAUUGAGUGGAUUGACUGUCAGGGCUGUCUUUAGGCUUAAUUCCAGACCUCUCUGUGCUUAGGGCAAACAUCAUUUGGCCUUAAAUGGGAUUCUGUGAGAGGGGAUCCCUCCAUUGACAGCUGGACUGUUCUUUGGGGCCUUAUGUGGUGUUUGCCUCUGAGGUACUCAGGGGCAUUUAGGUUUUUCCUCAUUCUUAAAUAAUAAUGAACAUGUCUAGACAAGGUAUUUUCCAGACUGUUGGGAGUGGUCUUGACCACAUCCUGUCUUUGGCAGACAUUGAGGAAGAGCAAAUGAUUCAAUCAGUUGAUAGGACUGCAGUGACUGGUGCUUCUUAUUUUACUUCUGUGGAUCAAUCUUCAGUUCAUACAGCUGAGGUUGGAUCACACCAGGUUGAACCUUUGAGAACCUCUGUUGAUAAACCCGGUUCAAAGAGGACUCAGGGAGAGAAAUUUUUCUUGAUUCAUUCUGCAGAUUGGCUUACUACACAUGCUCUUUUCCAUGAAGUUGCAAAAUUGGAUGUGGUGAAAUUAUUAUACAAUGAGCAGUUUGCUGUUCAAGGGUUGUUGAGAUACCAUACAUAUGCAAGAUUUGGCAUUGAAAUUCAAGUUCAGAUAAACCCUACACCUUUCCAACAGGGGGGAUUGAUCUGUGCUAUGGUUCCUGGUGACCAGAGCUAUGGUUCUAUAGCAUCAUUGACUGUUUAUCCUCAUGGUUUGUUAAAUUGCAAUAUUAACAAUGUGGUUAGAAUAAAGGUUCCAUUUAUUUACACAAGAGGUGCUUACCACUUUAAAGAUCCACAAUACCCAGUUUGGGAAUUGACAAUUAGAGUUUGGUCAGAAUUAAAUAUUGGGACAGGAACUUCAGCUUAUACUUCACUCAAUGUUUUAGCUAGAUUUACAGAUUUGGAGUUGCAUGGAUUAACUCCUCUUUCUACACAAAUGAUGAGAAAUGAAUUUAGGGUCAGUACUACUGAGAAUGUGGUGAAUCUGUCAAAUUAUGAAGAUGCAAGAGCAAAGAUGUCUUUUGCUUUGGAUCAGGAAGAUUGGAAAUCUGAUCCGUCCCAGGGUGGUGGGAUCAAAAUUACUCAUUUUACUACUUGGACAUCUAUUCCAACUUUGGCUGCUCAGUUUCCAUUUAAUGCUUCAGACUCAGUUGGUCAACAAAUUAAAGUUAUUCCAGUUGACCCAUAUUUUUUCCAAAUGACAAAUACAAAUCCUGACCAAAAAUGUAUAACUGCUUUGGCUUCUAUUUGUCAGAUGUUUUGUUUUUGGAGAGGAGAUCUUGUCUUUGAUUUUCAAGUUUUUCCCACCAAAUAUCAUUCAGGUAGAUUACUGUUUUGUUUUGUUCCUGGCAAUGAGCUAAUAGAUGUUUCUGGAAUCACAUUAAAGCAAGCAACUACUGCUCCUUGUGCAGUAAUGGAUAUUACAGGAGUGCAGUCAACUUUGAGAUUUCGUGUUCCCUGGAUUUCUGACACUCCUUACAGAGUGAACAGGUAUACAAAGUCAGCACAUCAGAAAGGUGAGUACACUGCCAUUGGGAAGCUUAUUGUGUAUUGUUAUAACAGAUUGACCUCUCCUUCUAACGUUGCUUCCCAUGUCAGAGUGAAUGUUUAUCUUUCAGCAAUUAACUUGGAAUGUUUUGCUCCUCUUUAUCAUGCUAUGGAUGUUACUACACAAGUUGGAGAUGAUUCUGGAGGUUUUUCAACAACAGUUUCUACAGAACAGAAUGUUCCAGAUCCCCAAGUUGGUAUAACAACCAUGAAAGAUUUGAAAGGAAAAGCUAACAGAGGGAAAAUGGAUGUUUCAGGAGUACAAGCACCUGUGGGAGCUAUCACAACAAUUGAGGAUCCAGUUUUAGCAAAGAAAGUACCUGAGACAUUUCCUGAAUUGAAACCUGGAGAAUCCAGACAUACAUCAGAUCAUAUGUCCAUCUACAAGUUUAUGGGAAGGUCUCAUUUCUUGUGCACUUUUACAUUCAAUUCAAAUAAUAAAGAGUACACAUUUCCUAUAACCUUGUCUUCAACCUCUAAUCCUCCUCAUGGUUUGCCAUCAACACUGAGGUGGUUUUUCAACUUGUUUCAGUUGUAUAGAGGGCCUUUAGAUCUGACAAUUAUUAUUACAGGAGCAACUGAUGUAGAUGGCAUGGCCUGGUUCACUCCAGUAGGUCUUGCCGUUGAUACUCCUUGGGUAGAGAAGGAGUCAGCUUUGUCUAUUGACUACAAAACUGCUCUUGGAGCUGUCAGAUUUAACACAAGGAGAACAGGGAACAUUCAGAUUAGAUUACCAUGGUAUUCUUAUUUAUAUGCUGUGUCUGGAGCACUGGAUGGUUUGGGAGACAAGACAGAUUCUACAUUUGGAUUGGUUUCUAUUCAGAUUGCAAAUUACAAUCAUUCUGAUGAAUACUUGUCUUUUAGUUGUUAUUUGUCUGUCACAGAACAAUCAGAGUUUUAUUUUCCCAGAGCUCCAUUGAACUCAAAUGCCAUGUUAUCCACUGUAUCAAUGAUGAGCAGAAUUGCAGCUGGAGACUUGGAGUCAUCAGUGGAUGAUCCUAGAUCAGAGGAAGAUAAAAGAUUUGAGAGUCAUAUAGAAUGCAGGAAGCCAUAUAAAGAACUGAGAUUAGAAGUUGGGAAACAAAGACUCAAGUAUGCUCAGGAAGAAUUGUCAAGUGAAGUACUUCCACCCCCUAGGAAAAUGAAGGGACUGUUUUCACAAGCCAAAAUUUCUCUUUUUUAUACUGAGGAGCAUGAAAUAAUGAAGUUUUCCUGGAGAGGUGUGACUGCUGAUACUAGAGCUUUAAGGAGGUUUGGAUUCUCUUUGGCCGCAGGCAGAAGUGUGUGGACUCUUGAAAUGGAUGCUGGGGUUCUUACUGGGAGACUGAUUAGAUUGAAUGAUGAGAAAUGGACAGAAAUGAAGGAUGACAAGAUUGUUUCAUUGAUUGAAAAGUUUACAAGUAACAAAUAUUGGUCCAAAGUGAAUUUCCCACAUGGGAUGUUGGAUCUUGAAGAAAUUGCUGCCAAUUCUAAGGAUUUUCCUAACAUGUCUGAAACGGAUUUGUGUUUCUUGCUGCAUUGGUUAAAUCCAAAGAAAAUUAAUUUAGCAGAUAGAAUGCUUGGAUUGUCUGGAGUUCAGGAAAUUAAAGAACAAGGUGUUGGAUUAAUAGCAGAGUGUAGAACUUUCUUAGAUUCUAUUGCUGGAACUUUAAAAUCUAUGAUGUUUGGAUUUCAUCAUUCUGUGACUGUUGAAAUUAUAAACACUGUGCUCUGUUUUGUUAAGAGUGGAAUUUUGCUUUAUGUAAUACAACAAUUGAAUCAGGAUGAACAUUCUCACAUAAUUGGUUUGUUGAGAGUCAUGAAUUAUGUAGAUAUUGGUUGUUCAGUUAUUUCAUGUGCCAAAGUUUUUUCCAAAAUGCUGGAAACAGUCUUUAAUUGGCAAAUGGACUCCAGAAUGAUGGAGUUAAGGACUCAGAGUUUUUCCAACUGGUUAAGAGAUAUUUGUUCUGGGAUCACCAUUUUCAAAAACUUCAAGGAUGCAAUUUAUUGGCUUUAUACAAAAUUAAUGGACUUUUAUGAAGUGAAUUAUGGCAAGAAGAAGGACAUUUUAAAUAUUCUUAAAGAUAACCAACAAAAAAUAGAGAAAGCCAUUGAGGAAGCCGAUAAAUUUUGCAUUUUGCAAAUCCAAGAUGUGGAAAAAUCUGAACAGUAUCAGAAAGGGGUUGACUUGAUACAAAAAUUGAGAACUGUUCAUUCAAUGGCUCAGGUUGAUCCAAAUUUAAUGGUUCAUUUGUCACCUUUGAGAGAUUGUAUAGCAAGAGUUCAUCAGAAACUUAAAAACCUUGGAUCUAUAAAUCAGGCAAUGGUAACGAGAUGUGAGCCAGUUGUUUGUUAUUUAUAUGGCAAAAGAGGGGGAGGAAAGAGCUUAACAUCAAUUGCAUUGGCAACCAAAAUUUGUAAACAUUAUGGUGUUGAGCCUGAAAAGAAUAUCUAUACUAAACCUGUGGCUUCAGAUUACUGGGAUGGAUAUAGUGGACAAUUAAUUUGCAUCAUUGAUGAUAUUGGCCAAAACACAACAGAUGAGGAUUGGUCAGAUUUUUGUCAGUUAGUGUCAGGAUGUCCAAUGAGAUUAAACAUGGCCUCUCUUGAGGAGAAGGGUAGGCAUUUUUCUUCUCCUUUUAUAAUAGCAACUUCAAAUUGGUCAAAUCCAAGUCCAAAAACAGUUUAUGUUAAGGAAGCAAUUGACCGCAGACUCCAUUUCAAGGUUGAAGUUAAACCUGCUUCAUUUUUCAAAAAUCCUCACAAUGAUAUGUUGAAUGUUAAUUUAGCUAAAACAAAUGAUGCAAUCAAAGAUAUGUCUUGUGUUGAUUUGAUAAUGGAUGGACAUAAUGUUUCAUUGAUGGAUUUGCUCAGUUCUUUAGUCAUGACAGUUGAAAUUAGAAAACAAAACAUGACUGAAUUCAUGGAGUUGUGGUCUCAGGGAAUUUCAGAUGAUGAUAAUGAUAGUGCAGUAGCUGAGUUUUUCCAGUCUUUUCCAUCUGGUGAACCAUCGAACUCUAAAUUAUCUGGCUUUUUCCAAUCUGUUACUAAUCACAAGUGGGUUGCUGUGGGAGCUGCAGUUGGCAUUCUUGGAGUGCUCGUUGGAGGAUGGUUUGUGUAUAAGCAUUUCUCCCGCAAAGAGGAAGAACCAAUCCCAGCUGAAGGGGUAUAUUAUGGUGUAACUAAGCCCAAGCAAGUGAUUAAAUUAGAUGCAGAUCCAGUAGAAUCUCAGUCAACUUUGGAAAUAGCAGGACUGGUUAGGAAGAACUUGGUUCAGUUUGGAGUUGGAGAGAAGAAUGGAUGUGUGAGAUGGGUUAUGAAUGCCUUGGGAGUGAAAGAUGAUUGGCUGCUUGUGCCUUCCCAUGCUUAUAAAUUUGAGAAAGAUUAUGAAAUGAUGGAGUUUUAUUUUAAUAGAGGUGGAACUUACUAUUCAAUUUCAGCUGGUAAUGUUGUUAUUCAAUCUUUGGAUGUGGGAUUCCAGGAUGUUGUUCUGAUGAAGGUUCCUACAAUUCCUAAGUUUAGAGAUAUUACUCAGCAUUUUAUUAAGAAAGGGGAUGUGCCUAGAGCUUUGAAUCGCCUGGCAACAUUAGUGACAACUGUAAAUGGAACCCCUAUGUUAAUUUCUGAGGGCCCACUAAAGAUGGAAGAGAAAGCUACUUAUGUUCAUAAGAAAAAUGAUGGUACAACAGUUGAUUUAACUGUGGAUCAGGCAUGGAGAGGAAAAGGCGAAGGUCUUCCUGGAAUGUGUGGUGGGGCCUUGGUUUCAUCGAAUCAAUCUAUACAGAAUGCAAUCUUGGGCAUCCAUGUUGCUGGAGGAAAUUCAAUUCUUGUUGCAAAAUUGGUUACUCAAGAAAUGUUCCAAAAUAUUGAUAAGAAAAUUGAAAGUCAGAGAAUUAUGAAAGUGGAGUUUACUCAGUGUUCAAUGAAUGUGGUCUCCAAAACGCUUUUUAGAAAGAGUCCCAUUUAUCAUCACAUUGAUAAAACCAUGAUUAAUUUUCCUGCAGCUAUGCCCUUUUCUAAAGCUGAAAUUGAUCCAAUGGCUGUGAUGUUAUCUAAGUAUUCAUUACCUAUUGUAGAAGAACCAGAGAAUUAUAAAGAGGCUUCAAUUUUUUAUCAAAAUAAAAUAGUGGGUAAGACUCAGUUAGUUGAUGAUUUUUUAGAUCUUGAUAUGGCCAUUACAGGGGCCCCAGGAAUUGAUGCUAUCAACAUGGAUUCAUCUCCUGGAUUUCCUUAUGUCCAGGAGAAGUUGACCAAAAGAGAUUUAAUUUGGUUGGAUGAAAAUGGUUUAUUGCUGGGAGUUCAUCCAAGAUUGGCUCAGAGAAUCUUAUUCAAUACUGUCAUGAUGGAAAAUUGUUCUGAUUUGGAUGUUGUUUUUACAACCUGUCCAAAAGAUGAAUUGAGACCAUUAGAGAAAGUGUUGGAAUCAAAAACAAGAGCUAUUGAUGCUUGUCCUCUGGAUUACACAAUUUUGUGCCGAAUGUAUUGGGGUCCAGCUAUUAGUUAUUUUCAUUUGAAUCCAGGUUUCCAUACAGGUGUUGCUAUUGGCAUAGAUCCUGAUAGACAGUGGGAUGAAUUAUUUAAAACAAUGAUAAGAUUCGGAGAUGUUGGUCUUGAUUUAGAUUUCUCUGCUUUUGAUGCUAGUCUUAGUCCAUUUAUGAUUAGAGAAGCAGGUAGAAUCAUGAGUGAACUAUCUGGAACUCCAUCCCAUUUUGGCACAGCUCUUAUCAAUACUAUCAUUUAUUCCAAGCAUUUGCUGUAUAACUGUUGUUACCAUGUCUGUGGUUCAAUGCCCUCUGGGUCUCCUUGUACAGCUUUGCUAAAUUCAAUUAUUAAUAAUGUCAAUUUGUAUUAUGUGUUUUCCAAGAUAUUUGGAAAGUCUCCAGUUUUCUUUUGUCAGGCUUUGAAGAUUCUCUGUUAUGGAGAUGAUGUUUUAAUAGUUUUCUCUCGAGAUGUUCAGAUUGAUAAUCUUGAUCUGAUUGGACAAAAAAUUGUAGAUGAGUUUAAGAAACUUGGCAUGACAGCUACUUCUGCUGACAAGAAUGUACCUCAGCUGAAACCAGUUUCGGAAUUGACUUUUCUCAAAAGAUCUUUCAAUUUGGUAGAGGAUAGAAUUAGACCUGCAAUUUCGGAAAAAACAAUUUGGUCUUUAAUAGCAUGGCAGAGAAGUAACGCUGAGUUUGAGCAGAAUUUAGAAAAUGCUCAGUGGUUUGCUUUUAUGCAUGGCUAUGAGUUUUAUCAGAAAUUUUAUUAUUUUGUUCAGUCCUGUUUGGAGAAAGAGAUGAUAGAAUACAGACUUAAAUCUUAUGAUUGGUGGAGAAUGAGAUUUUAUGACCAGUGUUUCAUUUGUGACCUUUCAUGAUUUGUUUAAACGAAUUUUCUUAAAAUUUCUGAGGUUUGUUUAUUUCUUUUAUCAGUAAAU